GGGAGAACAGAUCCUGGUGCCUUAAACUCCCAUGACAGGCCAGCACUGCGUGGACUUCCUCACUUAAAUGUUUUGCUCUAACCCUGCACCAAGUACCCAAACCUCCUUCUGACAUGUCAGAACAUGUCUCCUGUUUCCCCCUAACCAUCUCUGCUGGAACCAAACUGAGAGCAGCCAUCAAGGUCAGCUGGUGAGUGCUGCUUCUUGGAUCUCUGGACGAGUGGAUGUCUUCACUGUGAUGACUCGAGGAGCCUUACGAGAGCUGAUGAUUCUUUGGGAGUUUUUCUGUGGGGAGGACUGAGCGAGUCUUUGUUUUUGGCUGUUUCUGCCUUGUGUUUUCACAGGUUCAUAGCUAUGCUGCAUUGGCUCCCUGUGACGCAGGGCUCUGAUCAAUACUGGGUCUCAGGGGCAGGGAGAAGGCUGCAAGAGGACCAGGCAGCUAAUAUGCUUCAUAGGUAGUGCAAUGUUGUGAUCAAGGGCUGGAGUCAGCAUUGUGGCUAAUGCUGCACAACCAACCCUGUGUUCUUUCCGUCUAACACGGUCCGUGCAUCCCUCGUCAUGUGAGGAAAGAGCACCGCCUGAGUUAUCAUCAGGUAAACAAGGAGAUGGUUUAUCAAAAGAUUCACUGACAAUGAAAAAUCAUCAGUCCUGUCCCACACAGAGGUCAGUAGGUAGUGACCAUCUGUGAGAGACACCGCACCAGAUUGAGGGGCGCCCCAUGUCGCAAUAACCCAGCUACAGUCCACAGAGACACAGGGGAUUACUUCUGUGAUCAUGUAGUCCUCUAUGAGCUAUGUAGAGUAUGCAGUAUGCAUGUUCAGGCAAUCAUACCGAGGUCAAAAGAGCUCCAGCAUACCAGAGAAAUUACAGGAUACCUGCGCUGAAACAUUCAAAUGAUUUGUGAAGGAAUAAAAACGAGCAAUCUGGUAACGCUCUGAGCAACACCUGCUUUUCUGGCUAAACAUAAGAGCAAGCUGCCGUUCUUCUGCCAGCUCUAUGCACACACACAUAUACACACACGCCUGAGGACACAGCAGCAGUAUUAUACACGCACAAACCCAUCCACACAGACAGUACAGGAUCAUUAAUCAUCAGCCAACCCAGUUCUGCUUCUGGCCCCACACUCCUCACAUGUGGCUCAGGCCCAAGGUUGACUUUGCAGUCUCUGUAUUUACCUCAGUGUGGUGCAGAGGUUGCAUGCCGUGAAGAUUAAAUCAAAAGGACAGAGGGCAGUGGUAGGGGGGUUGGGAGCAGUGUUGGACUCAGCGGGUACACAUACAUGUACAUAUGCUUCUGAUAAACCAUCAUCAAGAUCAAACAGGCUAAAAAAUGCCUCUAAUUCUAUCAAAGUACCAACAUGUAAUCUAUUUCUAAUGGAAAUCAAAUCAGCUGGAGACCUAACUCUGUUAAAAACCACUAAGAGAAUAACCAAGAGCUCUGCAUCAUGUCAGUCACACUGCUCCAGCCUCACUUUGUCUUCUGUGAGUAUUCAAAUAUAUUCUCUGAGUUUAGUCAUCCUCCUGUUUUCACUUUUUGUAAAAUAAAACAGGAUUAUUUUCUGAC
Notolabrus celidotus (New Zealand spotty) is the source of this 1563-nucleotide long non-coding RNA. RefSeq lists it as uncharacterized. The record is from RefSeq and is a predicted model, not a curated record. NCBI's taxonomy places the organism in Eukaryota, Metazoa, Chordata, Actinopteri, Labriformes, Labridae. The transcript has 2 exons.